This 491-nucleotide ribosomal RNA is filed under the name uncultured bacterium. RNAcentral's name for it is "bacterial SSU rRNA". It matches the Rfam family "Bacterial small subunit ribosomal RNA", at positions 8 to 518 of the family's 1533-position model. The record is from RNAcentral.
AGAGUUUGAUUAUGGCUCAGGACGAACGGCUGGCGGCGUGCUUCAUACAUGCAAGUCGAACGAGAAGCUGACUUCGGUCAGUGGAAAGUGGCGGACGGGUGAGUAAUAUGUAGAGAAUCUGCCCUUGAGUGGGGGACAACAGAGGGAAACUUCUGCUAAUACCCCAUAUGAGCUAACUUGAAAUAGUUAUCUUGAAAACUCCGGUGCUCAAGGAUGAGUCUGCAUCUGAUUAGCUAGUUGGCGGUGUAAUGGACCACCAAGGCGACGAUCAGUAGCUGGUUUGAGAGGAUGAUCAGCCACAAUGGGACUGAGACACGGCCCAUACUCCUACGGGAGGCAGCAGUAGGGAAUUUUGCGCAAUGGGCGAAAGCCCUGACGCAGCAACGCCGCGUGAACGAUUAAGCCCUUCGGGGUGUAAAGUUCUGUCAGUAGGGACGAAUUUUGACGGUACCUACAGAGGAAGCACCGGCUAACUCCGUGCCAGCCGCCGC